Molecule: non-coding RNA, 91 nt
Organism: Ochotona curzoniae (black-lipped pika)
Lineage: Eukaryota; Metazoa; Chordata; Mammalia; Lagomorpha; Ochotonidae
Product: small Cajal body-specific RNA 11
Exons: 1
Source: RefSeq, a predicted model, not a curated record
UUGUCCCAACCCUGGCACCCCCUCUUGCCUGUGCUCAGUUGCCACAGGGGAGUCCGGCAGGACACACAGAACUCUCUCUCAUAAGAUCAUU